CACCUACGAAGUCAGAAGGUCGUUGUCACUGAUAAUGACCAGCUAUAUAAGUUUGGACACCUCUCAUGCUCUGAAGACAGCGGUCUCCACAGAAGGUGCUUAAAACAGUUUCACCAUGUUUUGGUUGCUUGUCCUUGUCGGCGUUGGUCUAACCAAUGCUGAUGACAGUUCUGGUGGCUCCUAUCUCAUUACAUC
This is a long non-coding RNA of Haliotis rubra (blacklip abalone), 195 nucleotides long. RefSeq lists it as uncharacterized. NCBI's taxonomy places the organism in Eukaryota, Metazoa, Mollusca, Gastropoda, Lepetellida, Haliotidae. The transcript has 3 exons. The record is from RefSeq and is a predicted model, not a curated record.